AUUGAACGCUGGCGGCAGGCCUAACACAUGCAAGUCGAGCGGAUGAAGGGAGCUUGCUCCUGGAUUCAGCGGCGGACGGGUGAGUAAUGCCUAGGAAUCUGCCUGGUAGUGGGGGAUAACGUCCGGAAACGGGCGCUAAUACCGCAUACGUCCUGAGGGAGAAAGUGGGGGAUCUUCGGACCUCACGCUAUCAGAUGAGCCUAGGUCGGAUUAGCUAGUUGGUGGGGUAAAGGCCUGCCAAGGCGACGAUCCGUAACUGGUCUGAGAGGAUGAUCAGUCGCACUGGAACUGAGACACGGUCCAGACUCCUACGGGAGGCAGCAGUGGGGAAUAUUGGACAAUGGGCGAAAGCCUGAUCCAGCCAUGCCGCGUGUGUGAAGAAGGUCUUCGGAUUGUAAAGCACUUUAAGUUGGGAGGAAGGGCAGUAAGUUAAUACCUUGCUGUUUUGACGGUACCAACAGAAUAAGCACCGGCUAACUUCGUG
Molecule: ribosomal RNA, 484 nt
Filed under: uncultured bacterium
Lineage: Bacteria
Description: partial 16S ribosomal RNA
Rfam family: Bacterial small subunit ribosomal RNA
Source: RNAcentral